GAUGAACGCUGGCGGCGUGCCUAAUACAUGCAAGUCGAGCGAACAGACGAGGAGCUUGCUCCUCUGAUGUUAGCGGCGGACGGGUGAGUAACACGUGGAUAACCUACCUAUAAGACUGGGAUAACUUCGGGAAACCGGAGCUAAUACCGGAUAAUAUAUUGAACCGCAUGGUUCAAUAGUGAAAGACGGUUUUGCUGUCACUUAUAGAUGGAUCCGCGCUGCAUUAGCUAGUUGGUAAGGUAACGGCUUACCAAGGCAACGAUGCGUAGCCGACCUGAGAGGGUGAUCGGCCACACUGGAACUGAGACACGGUCCAGACUCCUACGGGAGGCAGCAGUAGGGAAUCUUCCGCAAUGGGCGAAAGCCUGACGGAGCAACGCCGCGUGAGUGAUGAAGGUCUUCGGAUCGUAAAACUCUGUUAUUAGGGAAGAACAUAUGUGUAAGUAACUGUGCACGUCUUGACGGUACCUAAUCAGAAAGCCACGGCUAACUACGUG
RNAcentral lists this ribosomal RNA (497 nucleotides) under uncultured bacterium. RNAcentral's name for it is "partial 16S ribosomal RNA". It matches the Rfam family "Bacterial small subunit ribosomal RNA", at positions 28 to 507 of the family's 1533-position model. The record is from RNAcentral.